GACGAACGCUGGCGGCGUGCUUAACACAUGCAAGUCGGACGGUAAGGCCCUUUGGGGUACACGAGUGGCGAACGGGUGAGUAACACGUGGGUGACCUGCCCUUCACUCUGGGAUAAGCCUGGGAAACUGGGUCUAAUACCGGAUAUUCACUUCUUGCUGCAUGGCGGGGGGUGGAAAGGUUUUUCGGUGGGGAUGGGCCCGCGGCCUAUCAGCUUGUUGGUGAGGUAACGGCUCACCAAGGCGACGACGCGUAGCCGGACUGAGAGGUUGGCCGGCCACAUUGGGACUGAGACACUGCCCAGACUCCUACGGGGGGCUGCAGUAACGAAUCUUCCGCAAUGUACGCAAGUAUGACGGAGCGACGCCGCGUGUAGGAUGAAGCCCUUCGGGUGUAAACUACUGUCAGGGGAUAGAAAGUUCUGAUCGUCCCCAGAGGAAGGC
Molecule: ribosomal RNA, 441 nt
Filed under: uncultured bacterium
Lineage: Bacteria
Description: bacterial SSU rRNA
Rfam family: Bacterial small subunit ribosomal RNA
Source: RNAcentral